AACGAACGCUGGCGGCAUGCCUAACACAUGCAAGUCGAACGAGAUCUUCGGGUCUAGUGGCGCACGGGUGCGUAACGCGUGGGAAUCUGCCCUUUGGUUCGGAAUAACAGUUGGAAACGACUGCUAAUACCGGAUGAUGACGAAAGUCCAAGGAUUUAUCGCCAGAGGAUGAGCCCGCGUAGGAUUAGCUAGUUGGUGUGGUAAAGGCGCACCAAGGCGACGAUCCUUAGCUGGUCUGAGAGGAUGAUCAGCCACACUGGGACUGUGACACGGCCCAGACUCCUACGGGAGGCAGCAGUGGGGAAUAUUGGACAAUGGGCGAAAGCCUGAUCCAGCAAUGCCGCGUGAGUGAUGAAGGCCUUAGGGUUGUAAAGCUCUUUUACCCGGGAUGAUAAUGACAGUACCGGGAGAAUAAGCUCCGGCUAACUCCGUGCCAGCAGCCGCAGUAA
RNAcentral lists this ribosomal RNA (449 nucleotides) under uncultured bacterium. RNAcentral's name for it is "partial 16S ribosomal RNA". It matches the Rfam family "Bacterial small subunit ribosomal RNA", at positions 29 to 523 of the family's 1533-position model. The record is from RNAcentral.